Molecule: ribosomal RNA, 428 nt
Filed under: uncultured bacterium
Lineage: Bacteria
Description: bacterial SSU rRNA
Rfam family: Bacterial small subunit ribosomal RNA
Source: RNAcentral
UGAGGAAUCUUGCGCAAUGGGGGAAACCCUGACGCAGCAACGCCGCGUGAGUGAGGAAGGUCUUCGGAUCGUAAAGCUCCGUCGGGUGGAAAGAAAUGUAUGGGGUUAAUAGCCUUCAUACUUGACGGUACCACCAAAGGAAGCACCGGCUAACUCCGUGCCAGCAGCCGCGGUAAUACGGGGGGUGCAAGCGUUGUUCGGAAUUAUUGGGCGUAAAGAGCGUGUAGGCGGCUUGGUAAGUCAGAUGUGAAAGCCCUGGGCUUAACCCAGGAAGUGCAUUUGAAACUGCCUAGCUAGAGUAGGGGAGAGGGAAGUGGAAUUCCUGGUGUAGAGGUGAAAUUCGUAGAUAUCAGGAGGAACACCGGUGGCGAAGGCGACUUCCUGGCCCUAUACUGACGCUGAGACGCGAGAGCGUGGGUAGCAAACAG